GACUGGCAGCCUCCAAAAGGACGUCUUCAGGCUCCUUAAUGAAGAGGCAGGACUGGAGCUGCCUCUGCUCCACGGGCCGCUUUCACCAAGAUGGGCCAUGUCAUCUGCAGAGAGUCAGUGGUCGGCCACGUCUUUCUUCCUCAGAGAGCCCUCCCUUGGCAACUCCAUCUACAGAAGGCCCCUGUCCUCCUCAUCACAGUGCUCUGUUUUGUUGCCUUUGGUUGUACUUUACCAAAACCGGAAAUUGUUUAUUUACCUUUUGUUUAUCACCAGUUCCUGGUGACUGGGAGGUGCUGCUCAGGUCACAGGCUUGGUUUGACAUUGUUCCAGGAAAAACUUUUGUUUGUGCCUAAUAAUUAGGCAGACUUUCAGGUGAAACAAUUAUUAUUUUUUUAUUUGCUACCUCUCACCACCACUUGUCCCAGAAACGGAGGAGGAAGCCACAUUUAACUUAUCAAAACAAUAUUGUUAACCAUCUCAGGUCUUUUAUUAGUUUGGUCACAAGUAAUCGUCGAAAGUACUGUCUUGUUUCCGGGGAGCCCAAAUGCGAGGCCCUCAACCCCAGUGCCUUCUGGAAGAUGCACUUCAUGAGAGCCGGUGGCUCCUCUGUCUUGUUCCCCAUCGUAUUUUCCACAGCUUGAGCAAGGCCUGACAUGGAGGAUCUACCCCAUGAACGCCAUCAAAUGAAGGAAUGAACGGCAGACAGUGAGAGUGCGGGCAUGUGUCUCAGCGGACAAGCCUGCCUGAAGCCCUGCAGUGAGAGCCUUUUGGGAUAGCUAGAAGGGUGGGUGAGAGCGUAGGAAACACUGCAGGAGAGAGCUCUAAGUACUCUGUAGUGUUUCCUGUUCCCUGGGGACGCAGGUUGAUGCACCCCCCAGAUUCAGCUCUCCUCCCGGGAUCCUGGCAGUUAGCCCUGUGGUGUUCCCUGCACCACACCCAGCUGCUGUUGGACACAAUUCUCACCGAGAAACGGGGGCUGUCGGAUACAUUUGUUACGGACCUAGGACCACGGCGCUGCCUGGGUGUAGGGGCAAGAUGCGGGCGAGCGGAGCUGCUCCUCUCCCGCAGGGAAAGCCCUGUUCCCACGUCAGAUUCCAAGGUGGUGGCCACGUGCCACGGGGGAAGCCAGAACCAGCGAAAGCGCAGACCACUGGCCACAGCCUGACCUGUCUUGGCCCUUGUGAGUGCCUCACCCGGCGAGCCUGGACUCCCCUCGGAACCACAGUCCCUGAGUUCCACACACUGGAUACUGACUUUUGAGGAAGCUUGUGGAACAGAAGGAGCACUGGCCCCAGAGGACCAACACAGAUUCCAGUCCAGGUGUGGCCUCUGACUGGCUGUGUAUCUCUGAGAAAGGCAUUUAGCCUCCCCGAGCUCUCUUAGAGUUCCUGCUUCUAAAGAGGGCAUAAGAAACCAACCUCAUAGGAUUGUCUUAUGAUUCAAGUGUGAUGAUAUGUGUGGAAACACUUUUACAACUGCAGAAAACACUUCUUCUGAUAGAAGUUAUUAUCAUUAACUAAGCAUCUGAUUUAUGAGAGCAGGGAGGGCAGUCUCCCGCAUGCCCAGAGCGUGCCACUCCCAGCCCAGGGACGGUGACUGUAACCCUUGCAUGUCAGAAUGCAAAUGAAUUGGUGAAAUUAUUAUGCAGGUCGCUUGAAUCUGUUCUAAUUUAUUGUUUAAAUAUCGUAAAAGAUAGAAUUCAGAAACAUCGAUUCUUUAUUAGGAGUGACAAAUGAUUUACCAACUGUACUAAUAUCUUGAUUCUAGGUGACAGAAAGUUGUCCCAGCUGAUUAAGCAAAGAAGGGAACUUACUUGUUAUGUAAUUAGAGUCUUGUAGUUAAAGGGUAAAGUGGCUUCAAGAGUGGUCAGAUCAGGUGCUAAAAUGAAGCUGUCGGUCCCCUGUUUCUAUGUCUCAAUUCUGUUUUCCUACGCAAGCUUCCUUCUCAGGCAGGCCCUCUCCAAGUGGUGGCAAAGGUAGCUCCCACAAGCUCCAGGAUUACAUUUUACCAGCCUAACCACCCCAUGGAAAGAGUUUGCUUCUUUCCAAAUCAUUCUAGAAGACUCUAGAAAUGGUGACUCUGGAUGGACGGAUUUGGACAUGGACCCAAGUCUGGAUAACAUGUCCUCCCCUGCAGCUGGAGUGGGGCUAGCCUUUUGCCCCUCUCCCUGUGCCACGUGGACUGACAGUGGUGGAGGAGUGGUUGACUAACAGAGAAUUGGGAUGUUGUUACCAGAAGGAGGAGGAAUGGACGCUGGCCGGCAAAACCCCAGGUUGUGGUUGCCACCCAGGAAAUGGGGCCAGCACAGAGGUAGUGCGUGCCUGGCCUGUUCCCUCCCAUUUGUCACCUUGUGUCCGCUGCAGGGCUGGACUCAGGAGCUCCUGUAUUGCGAGCCGUUUUUCAGGAAGACCUGAAUUUACACUCACUUUGGAGAGUAGCUUAGCAGCUUCUGCUGAAAUGGAAAAUGCACAUCUCAUGCCACCCAGUGGAUCCCUCCUUUGAGAAACCUUCCCACACGUGUGCAAAGAGAGAUGCGCGGGAUGUCCAAAGCAGCGUUGUUAUGCCGGUGAAACACAGGAGAUGAGCUAAAUGGUUAUAACUAGUAGAAUGGAAAGAGUGAGACAGCUUUUAAUAGGAUGGCAUAUUACUCAGCAGACAAAAGAAAUGAAUGAGAGCCGUAAGCUUCAGUGAUGAAUGUCAAAUACAUGAUUUGGGUGGAAAACAGUGA
Callorhinus ursinus (northern fur seal) is the source of this 2728-nucleotide long non-coding RNA. RefSeq lists it as uncharacterized. The record is from RefSeq and is a predicted model, not a curated record. Lineage: Eukaryota; Metazoa; Chordata; Mammalia; Carnivora; Otariidae.